AUUGAACGCUGGCGGCAGGCCUAACACAUGCAAGUCGAACGAGUGGCGGACGGGUGAGUAAUGGCUGGGAAACUGCCUGAUGGAGGGGGAUAACUACUGGAAACGGUAGCUAAUACCGCAUACCAUCAGAUGUGCCCAGAUGGGAUUAGCGAGUGGGUGGGGUAACGGCUAACCUAGGCGACGAUCCCUAGCUGGUCUGAGAGGAUGACCAGCCACACUGGAACUGAGACACGGUCCAGACUCCUACGGGAGGCAGCAGUGGGGAAUAUUGCACAAUGGGCGCAAGCCUGAUGCAGCGACGCCGCGUGUGUGAAGAAGGCCUUCGGGUUGUAAAGCACUUUCAGCGGGGAGGCGUUACCCGCAGAAGAAGCACCGGCUAACUCCGUGCCAGCAGCCGCGGUAAUUC
RNAcentral lists this ribosomal RNA (406 nucleotides) under uncultured bacterium. RNAcentral describes it as "partial 16S ribosomal RNA". It matches the Rfam family "Bacterial small subunit ribosomal RNA", at positions 29 to 526 of the family's 1533-position model. The record is from RNAcentral.